Molecule: ribosomal RNA, 259 nt
Filed under: Clostridioides difficile
Lineage: Bacteria; Bacillati; Bacillota; Clostridia; Peptostreptococcales; Peptostreptococcaceae
Description: partial 16S ribosomal RNA
Rfam family: Bacterial small subunit ribosomal RNA
Source: RNAcentral
AUCAAAGGUGAGCCAGUACAGGAUGGACCCGCGUCUGAUUAGCUAGUUGGUAAGGUAACGGCUUACCAAGGCGACGAUCAGUAGCCGACCUGAGAGGGUGAUCGGCCACAUUGGAACUGAGACACGGUCCAAACUCCUACGGGAGGCAGCAGUGGGGAAUAUUGCACAAUGGGCGAAAGCCUGAUGCAGCAACGCCGCGUGAGUGAUGAAGGCCUUCGGGUCGGAAAACUCUGUCCUCAAGGAAGAUAAUGACGGUACU